Molecule: ribosomal RNA, 407 nt
Filed under: uncultured bacterium
Lineage: Bacteria
Description: bacterial SSU rRNA
Rfam family: Bacterial small subunit ribosomal RNA
Source: RNAcentral
GUAAGGAAUAUUGCGCAAUGGGCGAAAGCCUGACGCAGCAACGCCGCGUGGAUGAAGAAGGCCUUCGGGUUGUAAAAUCCUUUUAUAGGGGAUGAGACAAGGACAGUACCCUGUGAAUAAGCGUCGGCUAACUACGUGCCAGCAGCCGCGGUAAAACGUAGGACGCGAGCGUUAUCCGGAUUUACUGGGCGUAAAGCGUGUGCAGGCGGUCAUCUAAGUCGGACGUGAAAGCUCCCGGCUCAACCGGGAGAGGCCGUUCGAAACUAUAUGACUAGAGGGCAGGAGAGGAGCGUGGAAUUCCGGGUGUAGUGGUGAAAUACGUAGAUAUCCGGAGGAACACCAGUGGCGAAGGCGACGCUCUGGACUGCUCCUGACGCUAGGACACGAAAGCUAGGGUAGCGAACGGG